AUAAAACUGUUAAUAUAACAGUGUUAGUUUAAAAAAAGAUCAAAUAAAAAUGAAAAAUUGAAACUUAAAUAAUAUAUGCAGUAAAAAAAAUGAUGGUAAUAUAACUCUCAACCUUAAUUUGGGAUCUACUAGAAAGGCAAGGAAGACAAACAUAAAGGAUUUUGUUUUGGACAAUAACAAUAACAACAACAAUAAUAAUGUGUAUAGAAAACAAAUUUUUGCUUUGAACCUUUCCCAAUCAUUGCCUCCAAUCAGAACAUGGUUAAAAAAUAAAAUUAAUAAGAGAAGAACAAAAGAACAAAUUAAAUAGCACUUCAAGGCUUAGUCACAGUAUUAUUAUUCUCAUUAAGUGUAUCUGUAAACUCUGUUAAAUUAGUAAAUAAUUAGUCAAUAAAUUAGUUUUUAAUAAAAAAUUAGAAACGCAAAUAUUAUAUUAAAUUAGGAUAGAGCUCAUCGAAACGAAAAUUUUGACACUAAUUUCAAAAAAAUUGGUCUAAAAUUAGACUGAACGGACCGAACCAGUUGAACUGGAUCCAAACUAGACCAUCGAUCCAACCAGACCAACCUAUUAAAUUAACCCAAGCCUUUCUUCCCCCUCAUUUCAGCUGAAGCAUUCACAGGGGAGAAGAGAAUGAAAAGCCUCCCGAACCCUUACGAUAAAUCCAAUUUGUCGUAAUUUCUCCGUCCGAGCUCCGAUUGCCGCACCGUUUGCGGUCACGUGUUCACUGCGUCGAGCUCUACGUUUCUACCGGAACAAUUUCAUAGGAUCUAAUUAAUUAGCUUGGGAAAAACGUUUACUCUUGCUUAUGUGAAGCUUGAGUAAGGUUAAGAAUAAAUAAUUGGAGCUUGAAAUUGUGAAUAUUGAAACUUGGAGGAAGCUGAGCCUAGAGUUUAUUGAGUUUUGAGGGGCUGCCUUGGUAUUAAAUAAAUUGCUUUGGUCGCUACGAGAAAAUCGGCCAAGAUGCAGGUCGAGAGGCAUCUCGUUAGGCGUCUGGACCCCUGAGGCGAAG
Non-coding RNA from Arachis ipaensis, 1010 nucleotides. The record is from RefSeq and is a predicted model, not a curated record. NCBI's taxonomy places the organism in Eukaryota, Viridiplantae, Streptophyta, Magnoliopsida, Fabales, Fabaceae.